CGUCGCGGUGGGCCACGACGUUUGGUGUAAGUACUCCGGAAGCGAAAGAACCACGCCAGACCCCUCCAGCCUCCCGCGGGGUGCGUGUCGCUCACACGGGUGAACUACGCCAACCGGGCUGGCUCGCACGGGGGUUGUCGGGCAUAUGCUCGCCGCGACAACCCCAGACAUGCGUCGGCCCCCGACGGGACUCGCAAUCCCGGCGGGGGCCUACCAACAAGGAAGUAGCGCUUCCCG
This 237-nucleotide non-coding RNA is filed under the name Streptomyces sp. WM4235. RNAcentral describes it as "Streptomyces sRNA 4677". It matches the Rfam family "Streptomyces sRNA 4677". From Rfam's summary of the family: Located in the intergenic region between anti-sigma factor SCO4677 gene and a putative regulatory protein gene SCO4676. scr4677 expression requires the SCO4677 activity and scr4677 sRNA itself seem to affect the levels of the SCO4676-associated transcripts. Lineage: Bacteria; Bacillati; Actinomycetota; Actinomycetes; Kitasatosporales; Streptomycetaceae. The record is from Rfam by way of RNAcentral.